Molecule: long non-coding RNA, 704 nt
Filed under: Phascolarctos cinereus (koala)
Lineage: Eukaryota; Metazoa; Chordata; Mammalia; Diprotodontia; Phascolarctidae
Description: lncRNA (ENSPCIG00000028684.2)
Source: RNAcentral
GUCAUCUUCAUAGGGAGAAAGGAAGACAGGGAGAGGGAACUAAUCGAUGGUGAGAGACAAAGACCAUACUUCAGAAUAUGACACACACCUCCUCAAUCCCAAGAUGGGGUCCACUAUUGGAUUGAGAGAAGAACUAGAUGUCUCUCCCUCCCCAUAUCCAAACAUCAGUGAUGCCUGGACAUUUCAGCAAGAACGAGUACUUACUUUUGAGACCAGAAACUCCAAAGCCCAACACAAGCUAAAAAAGCCACAGGACUAACCUGAUUUCCCCUGGGGCGCUAUUGCCCUCCCCUAACUGGUAAGUGUACUCUGAACUUUUCCUUGUCCUCAGUACCUUAGCUGAGUAAAAUGGAAGUGAUUUUGUUGACCAGAGAAAGAGGCAAAAGCAGUGGUCCACUCAUCAUCAAGGCUACUUCUCUUAAAGAGGACUUCAGAGCUAUUAGCUUCAGAUUGGCCAUAAAAUCAUAGAUUCUGAGCUGGAAGGGACUGUAGAGGUCAGCCGGUUCUAAAUCUCUUCUUUUAUAAAUGGGGGAGCUGAGGCCCCCGCAGGGUCAUGAUUUGUCUAAUGUUCACACAAGCACUAAGCCAGAAUUGAGACCAAAGCCCUCUUAUUCCAAGUCCAACACUCUUUUCCCCUGCACCCUCAUCUAAACGCCCCUUCUCAGGAAUAUCCUGGAAAUAAAUUAGGCUUUACCUGGUUGACA